AAAGGAAUAGACGGGGACCCGCACAAGCGGUGGAACAUGUGGUUUAAUUCGACAAUAAGCGAAGAACCUUACCAGGGCUUGACAUCUCUGGAACCCCCUAGAAAUAGGGGGGUGCCUUUUGGAGCCAGAUGACAGGUGCUGCACGGUCGUCGUCAGCUCGUGCUGUGAAGUGUCCCGUUAAGUCGGUUAACGAGCGCAACCCCUAUUGUAUGUUGUAUUUUUCAUACAAGACUGCCGGCGUUAAGUCGGAGGAAGGCGGGGAUGACGUCAGAUCAGCGUGGCUCUUACGUCCUGGGCGACACACGUGUUACAAUGGGUGCUACAAAGGGUUGCUAAACUGUAAAGUGGAGCUAAUCCCAUCAAAAGCACUCUCAGUUCGGAUUGAGGGCUGCAACUCGCCCUCAUGAAGUCGGAAUCGCUAGUAAUCGUAGGUCAGCCAUACUACGGUGAAUACGUUCUCGGGUCUUGUACACACCGCCCGU
RNAcentral lists this ribosomal RNA (482 nucleotides) under uncultured bacterium. RNAcentral's name for it is "bacterial SSU rRNA". It matches the Rfam family "Bacterial small subunit ribosomal RNA", at positions 903 to 1397 of the family's 1533-position model. The record is from RNAcentral.